Molecule: ribosomal RNA, 301 nt
Filed under: uncultured bacterium
Lineage: Bacteria
Description: partial 16S ribosomal RNA
Rfam family: Bacterial small subunit ribosomal RNA
Source: RNAcentral
CAGUCGCCGCGGUAAUGCGUAGGGUGCGAGCGUUAAUCGGAAUUACUGGGCGUAAAGCGUGCGCAGGCGGUGAUGUAAGACCGAUGUGAAAUCCCCGGGCUUAACCUGGGAACUGCAUUUGUGACUGGCGAGCUAGAGUAUGGCAGAGGGGGGUAGAAUUCCACGUGUAGCAGUGAAAUGCGUAGAGAUGUGGAGGGAUACCGAUGGCGAAGGCAGCCCCCUGGGCCAAUACUGACGCUCAUGCACGAAAGCGUGGGGAGCAAACAGGAUUAGAUACCCCAGUAGUCCCUGUCUCUUAUAC